UGCAGUCGACGGAAGGCCCUUCGGGGUANUCGAGUGGCGAACGGGUGAGUAACACGUGGGUGAUCUGCCCUGCACUUUGGGAUAAGCCUGGGAAACUGGGUCUAAUACCGAAUAGGACCACGCGCUUCAUGGUGUGUGGUGGAAAGCUUUUGCGGUGUGGGAUGGGCCCGCGGCCUAUCAGCUUGUUGGUGGGGUAAUGGCCUACCAAGGCGACGACGGGUAGCCGGCCUGAGAGGGUGACCGGCCACACUGGGACUGAGAUACGGCCCAGACUCCUACGGGAGGCAGCAGUGGGGAAUAUUGCACAAUGGGCGCAAGCCUGAUGCAGCGACGCCGCGUGAGGGAUGACGGCCUUCGGGUUGUAAACCUCUUUCAAUAGGGACGAAGCGCAAGUGACGGUACCUAUAGAAGAAGCACCGGCCAACUACGUGCCAGCAGCCGCGGUAAUACGUAGGGUGCGAGCGUUGUCCGGAAUUACUGGGCGUAAAGAGCUCGUAGGUGGUUUGUCGCGUUGUUCGUGAAAACUCACAGCUUAACUGUGGGCGUGCGGGCGAUACGGGCAGACUAGAGUACUGCAGGGGAGACUGGAAUUCCUGGUGUAGCGGUGGAAUGCGCAGAUAUCAGGAGGAACACCGGUGGCGAAGGCGGGUCUCUGGGCAGUAACUGACGCUGAGGAGCGAAAGCGUGGGGAGCGAACAGGAUUAGAUACCCUGGUAGUCCACGCCGUAAACGGUGGGUACUAGGUGUGGGUUCCU
This 755-nucleotide ribosomal RNA is filed under the name Mycolicibacterium mucogenicum. RNAcentral describes it as "bacterial SSU rRNA". It matches the Rfam family "Bacterial small subunit ribosomal RNA", at positions 56 to 831 of the family's 1533-position model. The record is from RNAcentral. Lineage: Bacteria; Bacillati; Actinomycetota; Actinomycetes; Mycobacteriales; Mycobacteriaceae.